RNAcentral lists this microRNA precursor (103 nucleotides) under Marmota monax (woodchuck). The record is from RNAcentral. Lineage: Eukaryota; Metazoa; Chordata; Mammalia; Rodentia; Sciuridae.
UUUGGGAUAGCUGGGUCAAAUGGUGGUUCCAUUUCCAGUUUUCCAAGGAAUGUCCAUACUGCUUUCCAGAUCGAUUGCACCAAUUUGCAGUCCCACCAGCAAU